CUAUACAUGACUCUGCGCAUAUCAAUAAGCGGAGGAAAAGAAACUAACAAGGAUUCCCCUAGUAACGGCGAGUGAAGCGGGAAGAGCUCAAAUUUGAAAUCUUAAAGGGUUUCCCUUUACGAAUUGUAGUUUAAAGAAGUGUUUUCUGUUGGAGUUUCGGUAAAAGUUCUUUGGAAUAGGACAUCAUAGAGGGUGAGAAUCCCGUAUUUGACCGUUACUUUCCAGCUGUGUGAUACACUUUCAAAGAGUCGGAUUGUUUGGGAAUGCAGUCCAAGAUGGGUGGUAAAUUUCAUCUAAAGCUAAAUAUUGGCGAGAGACCGAUAGCGAACAAGUACCGUGAGGGAAAGAUGAAAAGAACUUUGAAAAGAGAGUUAAACAGUACGUGAAAUUGUCAAAAGGGAAGCGUUUGACACCAGUGUUGUUUUCUCGAAAAUCAAUUAAAAAUGGCAGGAUUUUGUGUUGUAUUGACUUUAUCAGCUUUCAUGCACUUUUUUCUUGUCCUUUUUUAAUGCACUUUUCGUUUAACAAGUCAACAUCAAUUUCUUUUGUUGUAAAAGAGGUCAUUGGAAGGUGGCUUUCUUUUCGGAGAAAGUGUUUAUAGCCUUUGGCUUCUGCAAUCGGAGAGAUUGAGGUCUGCAGCGUAGAUCCUUCGGGGUUAGAUACAUUUGUGCUAAGUUAUAGCCUUUCAUAGACAACUUGUUGACUAUGAUCAGUCAUGUAGCUUACUCCGCUUAGUGUUAUUUUACCUACGCUUAGGAUGUUGAAGAUAUGCGCGACACGACUCUAUACAUGACUCUGUGCAUAUCAAUAAGCGGAGGAAAAGGUCAACAUUUUACCUACGCUUAGGAUGUUGAAGAUAUGCGCGACACG
This 870-nucleotide ribosomal RNA is filed under the name uncultured Neocallimastigales. RNAcentral describes it as "partial large subunit ribosomal RNA". It matches the Rfam family "Eukaryotic large subunit ribosomal RNA", at positions 22 to 644 of the family's 3401-position model. The record is from RNAcentral. Lineage: Eukaryota; Fungi; Neocallimastigomycota; Neocallimastigomycetes; Neocallimastigales.